Molecule: long non-coding RNA, 3632 nt
Filed under: Mus musculus (house mouse)
Lineage: Eukaryota; Metazoa; Chordata; Mammalia; Rodentia; Muridae
Description: long non-coding RNA chr6:136983767-136987399
Source: RNAcentral
ACCAUAGUUUUUAGUAGAAUAUCUUCUGGGGCUUUAGAAAAAUCUAUUUUAGUUUACAUGGAAGAUCGUCUCAGAAGAUACAGCACUCAUUUAUUAAGCCACAGAAAGUCUUCUCCAAGUCAGUGUGUGCUUGGCUCUGUGAUGCUGGAGGUAGGGCCACUGAAAGUAUCUGUUGGGUUCCCUUAGGCCUCUCUGGGUGGACCCUGGAGGCUGACGUCCUUGUUCUUGUCAGCAUCCUAGCAACAGAUUCCCUGUUCCAUUAUGGGAGGCUGGUGGCUGCCCCUCCUGUUCUUUCUUGCCUCCCCACUAAAGCCUUAACUAUGGCUGUCAGUAAGCUUUCCUCUGAGCAGAUAGGGUGUGUAUCCAGCUCCUCUAGGCCCUUCCAACCCACAUUCCCAUCAGUUCUGCUUCGCUAGAGUGCACAUUACAUCUGGAGUCACCUCUGUAUUCCUCAGGGUCCCUCCUCUGCAUCCUCACCCCUGUUCUCAAUUCUUAUUCAUUCACUGUGAUUAACGUGUGAUAGUUCCCUGAACUAGAAUCCGAUGUUUAAAAAUGCCCUUCAAAGCCCCGAUUCUAUAGCUACACAUGCCUCUAUGAAUUGUAUACUUCAUAGCUCUAAUAACUUGCUGCAGACAUUCAGGGCUUGUUUUAAUUUAAAGUACAAUUUUAUGAUUAUAAAGUAUUUUUCUAAUGAUGAUUUAAACUCAUGAGCCAAAUAGGAAUAAAUUUAGAAUGUCAAUACUAUAUUGCUAUGUAUCCUUUUAAAAAUAUUAUUUAUUCUUUGUGAAUUUUACAUUAUGCACCCCAGUCCCACUCAGCAGGUGGGCUUCUGGGUGGCUGCAUAUCAAUUUUAACACAUUGAAAUUGGAUUAAUGUUCUUUUAAAAGAAAUAUUUGUCUUUAUUUUAUGUGUAUGUGUUUUGCCUAUCUCUAUGUCUGUAUACAAGUUUCAUACAGUGUCUGAGGAGGUCAGAAUAGGGCGUCAGAUACACUAGAAGUAGAGUUAUAGAUGAUUGGAAGCUGAUCUGUGGGUGUGGGAAAUGAACCUAGAUCCUCUGGAAGAGCAACCAGUGCUCUUAAACACCAAGCCCUUUUCUCCAGCCAUAUAUAUGUAUAUGUAUGUGCAUGUAAUUGUACAUGUAUAUAUAUUUAACCUAUUCCUUUUUUAAAAAUGUACCCCCUUCCAAGGAAAUGAUCCACCCUUCAGUGAUUCAUAAAUGACUCGUGAACUUGAAGAGUACACCUUUCUAUAAUAUUGAGGUGGAGAAAUAUUUUCUAUAGGUUGAGAAUUCUAUCCCCAUACAGGAGUAACAGUUAGUUGCCAGGUCACGCCCUGAUUCUCCACUGGGGUGGCCAGAGCACUGCCUGGCAUGCCACCAGAGAAGGCAGGGCAGAGUCCAUAAGGGGUGGUCCACAAUCCCCGUUUUCCUUCACCAGACUAGAAGGAGAAACAGUAGGAUCUGGGAUGAAGGCUGUGUUUCCCAGUUUCCUGUGUACCUGGAUGUCGCUGUCAUAUUGCUGGGAGUCGAGAAUGGGGGUCCCUGAUCUAUGCUCCCUCUCAAGGCAUCCAUGUUGCUGGGGGCAGGAAGGGGAAGGCAGAGUUCGAGAUGUGGGCGGGGCACGGUUUGAAUCCACGUGAGGGCGUGAGCAUGGAGGGGCCUGAAGACAGAAGGCUUUCUCCAGGGGAUUUCGACAUGGCUCAUUAUGAUGAAGAGACGAUUCUUGCUUGUUCAGACUGCUUUAUUUGACCCAGGAAGAGCAGCUCAUUGGCUGAAUGCGAGGGGCCCUAUCUAGAUACCUCAUUAUUAUGGAGAACUCCCCGUGUUUAUGCUACACAACCCAGUGUCCAGGGACCUCAGUGGGAGUCAUGGUUACAGGAUCCAGAGCAGGUAGAGGUAGGCAGGGAGCGGCUGAGAUUCCCCGGGUUUGAGCUCAUUCAACCUUACCAUUUAUUAUGCCUGUCUGGUAACAAGGUCCCACAUGCCCUACAUUUAGUCAUUUAAAAAAUAUUUUUCCUUAUAUGGGAUACUUUGACUGGUUUCCAGGCAGCUUGAUUUUAUGAGCCCACUUGCAUCUUCCCAAAGCGGUAUGCUCACAGCAAGAGGGAUGGUGACAUGAGACACGUAGCGUUGGUGAAUUGUGGGUUAGGAUGUGUCUGCUAUCUGGGGCAGAGACGACAGCUUCAGAGAGGGGACUGUUUGACGGAAACACCUUGGAAGGAGCCACAGUGGGGAUACACGUACUGCUACUUAAGAUUGUCGAAGUUGUUUGUGAUUUAUUCACAGUCACGUCUCCAGCAGACAUCCAUUGACCUGGGGUCCAGCAACCGCUCUGAUGCUGUUAACAGCAGCAUUUUCUCAUGAUCUGCAAGAGCUUGAAAAGCUGCUACAGCCGGGACUCCAGCCGUCAUGACUGACGUGGAGCACGCGUACCUCCCUCCUGCUCACGUUGCUGCAGCUCCUGUCUGCUGCUUAGCUCCUCUCACUGACUGGUGUUAUACUCUCAUUAGUCAAUUCAGUCUUCACAAGCCUGUCGAGCUGGUACCACAGCGACAGUGUUUACCAUGAGGGUUGAACUAAAAAUGGAACUCCUCUCAGGACAGGUGGUGGAACUGGCUCUUAGUUAAGUCCGAGUCUAACGCCAGAUGUUUUAGCCUGAUUUCGCCCCUCCCUCCCAUUAUAAGCCAUAAUGUGUGCUCUCAUAUAACCUUGCAGGAGUAAUCUACGUUUCUACGUUAACGAUGGCUGUAUAAGACUCACACCCUUAUGGUCUAACCUUCCAUGUUUCUCUCAUAGGAUGCCCUCUUUUAUUUGUAGGAUAAGUAUUAUGAAAUGUAGUAUAGAGUUUUUGUUUGUUUUCUUUUUUGAAAUAGGGUUUCUCUAUAGAGCCCUGGCUGUCCUGGAAUUUACUAUGUAGAGCAGGCUGGCCUCAAACUCACAGAGAUCCCCCUGCUUCUGCCUCUGAGUGCUGGAAUUAAAGGCGUGCGCCACCAAGCCCAGCUCAUCAGUAUGGGUUUUAAAGGACCAACCAGUUCUCAGAUUCUUCACUGAAAGCAUCCUUCUGACCUCAUUCUCCUGUUGCCUUAGCAACUGUGAGUGAUGAUUGGCAGAGCACGUGUCUGGGGCCCUGGUACUCCCAUUGGUGAGUUCCUGAGGAAAGCGGGUGCUGCCGCAGGCCCCGUGAAACCCAGUGAGACUGCAUUCGUGGGCUGCCUACCAGGCUGGACAGUUCCUCGUGAUCCAGACCUGUCAGCUUAUCUGUGAACGAUCUAAGCUUGUGCCUGGAGUGUGUGUGAAUUCUGAUUGGAUGAGGUGGGGUGGAGCUAGAAGGAGGAGUCGGCAGCGAGUAGUGAGAAGAGUUUAGCCCUUGCUGCAAGAUGGAUGGAGUAGUAGAAGCUGCUGUUGUAAGUGGUAGAAGCUAGCUGUUGUAAAAGAAGCCAAUAGUAGUGAAGAGAGUUUUUUAGCCCUUGCCCUAGGUAGAAGCCAGAAGUAGUGAAUAAGAGUAGCUUUAGCUCUUGCUGUGAGUAGUGGUAGAGUAGUGAGUAGUUUAGCCCUUGCCCUAAGAAGAAGCUGCUGGGGAAGAGAGCUGUAAAAGAAAAAGCCUGAAGUAAAGGCAUUGCUGCAUGAACCCAAC